Molecule: long non-coding RNA, 326 nt
Organism: Centruroides sculpturatus (bark scorpion)
Lineage: Eukaryota; Metazoa; Arthropoda; Arachnida; Scorpiones; Buthidae
Exons: 3
Source: RefSeq, a predicted model, not a curated record
AAUUUGAAAAUAUUUUGGGUUUUGUAAUAAAAUAUUGUCGUUCAUAUUUACACACUUGUGACGUAAUACAACAAAAUAUGUUAAACAUGUUGAAAGGAUGAUAAGAUUACUCCUAUGUGAGAAUUUUGAAUACAGAAUUAGAGAAUACAGUUCUAACUAUAUUAGAAGAGUAUAUGAAUCCUACAGAAUGUUACAUCGAUCGUUGUAUAUGAUUUUAUUCGUGUAUAGGCCUAGUUCAUCAGCUUUGACUAAAUAUGGUAUUUCAGGUAUGUAUGUGUCCGGAAGCUAUAUAUAAAAAGUAAACGUAUUAUCGCGCUAAAUCGGAG